Molecule: long non-coding RNA, 1268 nt
Organism: Myotis brandtii (Brandt's bat)
Lineage: Eukaryota; Metazoa; Chordata; Mammalia; Chiroptera; Vespertilionidae
Exons: 3
Source: RefSeq, a predicted model, not a curated record
CUGACCGGGAGUUGAACCGUGACCUCCUGGUUCAUAGGUAGACACUCAACCACUGAGCCAUGCCAGCGGGGUGAGUUAUGCUUUUUUAAGAGACCAUAUGCAAGUGAGAUCAUACAGUAUUUGUCUUUUUCUGCUUGACUUAUUUCACUUAGCAUAAUGCCCUCAAGAUCUAACCAUGGUGUUUGAAAUGGCAGGAUUUCCUUUCUUAAAGCUAAAUAAUAUUCUCUGCAAGCUUUUGUGACUGCGCUCCCCCCAUAAGAAGAAAUACAUUCCAAUUCUCAACCCAAAAUGUAUACACACAUGUGCCCAGAUACACACACCUCUGAAAAAGAAGCUUCCUGAAAUAUUACCCUUAUUUUAUGCAAUGCAUGCUAACGUUUUUUUCUACUUCAUCUUUAUUUUAAGAGAGCCUUUUUAGGUGUUUUUACUGCUUUAUUGAGGUAUGCUUGACAUACAAUAAACCAUAUAUUCUUAAAAUGUACAUUUUUGUUUCGACUUCUAUACACCCAUUGCAGGCUAAUAGUUUCAACUUUAUUAUUUUUACUUCUUUUUAAAUACUGGUCAGGACCUACUACAUUGAUUUUAUGACCCACUAAAGAACUAGUAGAUGAUUCCCUUCAAUGUUUGCUAGGUCUCAUUUAGCCACACAGACUGUGAUCUUAAGUUUGCCAUGUUUACCUGUUCCAGAAAUCAGGACAAGUAAGAUUCUCAGGAUGUGGUGGGGGAGGGGAGAGAAGGAUUGGCAGGAGCAAUGUUUGGGUUCCUCUUCCCUUCUCAGUAAAUACUUCCUGAUAUCAGUAUUCCAGUAUUCCUCAGGAGCCAUAGUGUGUGUGUGUGUGUGUGUGUGUGUGUGUGUUUUCUUUGUCUAGCUUGAGAUACAGAUUGGACUUCGUACAAGGCUAGACUACCGCCUGCAAACCAGAGACAACUCUUUUGUUUGAAUGAACAGAAUCGCGGACUAAAAUCAAAGGGAAAAUAAUGCGUUUGGAUUGUGACAGUACAUAGAGACCAUCUUAUCCACAGGGACACAAAAGCUCUUGGUACAUUGUGUUCCUGCCUUUGGGCCACCUCUGAAAUUGGCUGAAUCUGUGGUGUCCGAUUUCACGGGAGCUCCCAGUCACUGACAAUUUCCACUGCAGACAGAGAAGCUGGCACGAUUUCGGAGGAGGAAUAAAUACUUCUGUAGGCACCGAGUGAAGGAAGAAAGAAUUGGAAGAGACAUUUGUGCUUAAGAUCUGCAUUUACUUAGCCCUAGCCGGUUUGGCUCA